This 570-nucleotide unclassified non-coding RNA is filed under the name uncultured Russula. RNAcentral describes it as "sequence contains ITS1, 5.8S rRNA gene and ITS2". The stretch from base 116 to 269 matches the Rfam family "5.8S ribosomal RNA". The record is from RNAcentral. Lineage: Eukaryota; Fungi; Basidiomycota; Agaricomycetes; Russulales; Russulaceae.
GGCACCACCGCGUGGGUCCCCCUUUGGCUCCCUUUGAGGGGGGCUUACGUUUUCACACAAACUUUGUAUGCAGUGUAGAAUGUAUUUUUUGUUUUUGCGAUCACGCAAUCAAUACAACUUUCAACAACGGAUCUCUUGGCUCUCGCAUCGAUGAAGAACGCAGCGAAAUGCGAUACGUAAUGUGAAUUGCAGAAUUCAGUGAAUCAUCGAAUCUUUGAACGCACCUUGCGCCCCUUGGCAUUCCGAGGGGCACACCCGUUUGAGUGUCGUGAAAUUCUCAAAAACCUUUUUCUUUUUGGGAAAGGGUUUUUGGACUUGGAGGCUUUUUGCUGGCUUCACCUUGAAGUGAGCUCCUCCUAAAUGAAUCAGUGGGGUCCGCUUUGCCGAUCCUUGACGUGAUAAGAUGUUUCUGCGUCUUUGGGUUUGGCACUGUCACCUGCUUCUAACUGUCUCAUUGACAAUGAUGGUGCUCCGGUCACCACCGCUCUUAUCGGUGGGAGGCUUGACCCACAAAAACAAAACCUUGACCUCAAAUCGGGUGAGACUACCCGCUGAACUUAAGCAUAUCAA